UCAGGCCAGCAUCGGUUUAGGUGGUGGGAUAAAGGCCUUGGGAAUGUAGCUUCUUUCGGGGAGUGUUAUAGCCCUCGGUGCAAUGCCGCCUACCUGGACCGAGGACCGCGCUUCGGCUAGGAUGCUGGCGUAAUGGUUGUAAGCGA
This 146-nucleotide ribosomal RNA is filed under the name Fuscolachnum misellum. Its description in RNAcentral is "partial large subunit ribosomal RNA". Lineage: Eukaryota; Fungi; Ascomycota; Leotiomycetes; Helotiales; Hyphodiscaceae. The record is from RNAcentral.